GGCAGCACAGUAAGAGCUUGCUCUUAUGGGUGGCGAGUGGCGGACGGGUGAGGAAUACGUCGGAAUCUACCUUUUCGUGGGGGAUAACGUAGGGAAACUUACGCUAAUACCGCAUACGACCUUCGGGUGAAAGCAGGGGACCUUCGGGCCUUGCGCGGAUAGAUGAGCCGAUGUCGGAUUAGCUAGUUGGCGGGGUAAAGGCCCACCAAGGCGACGAUCCGUAGCUGGUCUGAGAGGAUGAUCAGCCACACUGGAACUGAGACACGGUCCAGACUCCUACGGGAGGCAGCAGUGGGGAAUAUUGGACAAUGGGCGCAAGCCUGAUCCAGCCAUACCGCGUGGGUGAAGAAGGCCUUCGGGUUGUAAAGCCCUUUUGUUGGGAAAGAAAAGCAGUCGGCUAAUACCCGGUUGUUCUGACCGUCCCGAAGAACGGCACCGGCUAACUUCGUGCCAGCAGCCGCGGUAAUACGAAGGGUGCAAGCGUUACUCGGAAUUACUGGGCGUAAAGCGUGCGUAGGUGGUUGUUUAAGUCUGUUGUGAAAUCCCUGGGCUCAACCUGGGAAUUGCAGUGGAUACUGGGCGACUAGAGUGUGGCAGAGGGGAGUGGAAUUCCCGGUGUAUCGGCGAAGUGCUUAGAGAUCGGGAGGAACAUCCAUGGCGAAAGCAGCUACCUGGACCAACACUGACGCUGAUGUACGAAAGCGUGUGGAGCAUACCGGAUCAGAUACCCUGGUAGUCCACGGCCUAAACGAUGCCUACUGGAUGUUCGGUGCCAUUUGGCACGCUUUAUCGAAGCUUACGUCCUUAAGUUCGCCGCCAAGAGGAGUACGCUCACAUGACUGUAACUCAGAUGACUUGACCGGC
RNAcentral lists this ribosomal RNA (864 nucleotides) under uncultured Gammaproteobacteria bacterium. RNAcentral's name for it is "bacterial SSU rRNA". It matches the Rfam family "Bacterial small subunit ribosomal RNA", at positions 65 to 918 of the family's 1533-position model. The record is from RNAcentral. Lineage: Bacteria; Pseudomonadati; Pseudomonadota; Gammaproteobacteria.